AAAUUGAAGAGUUUGAUCAUGGCUCAGAUUGAACGCUGGCGGCAGGCCUAACACAUGCAAGUCGAACGGUAACAGGAAGCAGCUUGCUGCUUCGCUGACGAGUGGCGGACGGGUGAGUAAUGUCUGGGAAACUGCCUGAUGGAGGGGGAUAACUACUGGAAACGGUAGCUAAUACCGCAUAACGUCGCAAGACCAAAGAGGGGGACCUUCGGGCCUCUUGCCAUCGGAUGUGCCCAGAUGGGAUUAGCUAGUAGGUGGGGUAACGGCUCACCUAGGCGACGAUCCCUAGCUGGUCUGUCACCUAGGCGACGAUCCCUAGCUGGUCUG
This 327-nucleotide ribosomal RNA is filed under the name Enterobacter hormaechei. RNAcentral's name for it is "bacterial SSU rRNA". It matches the Rfam family "Bacterial small subunit ribosomal RNA", at positions 1 to 321 of the family's 1533-position model. The record is from RNAcentral. Lineage: Bacteria; Pseudomonadati; Pseudomonadota; Gammaproteobacteria; Enterobacterales; Enterobacteriaceae.